UCAAUUUUUGCUUAUUUAUUGGUUUUGUUUUUAAGUUAUUGUAUUAAAAAUAAUUGUAUAAUUAAAUGUUUUAGUAAUUUUUAAUGAAAAAAUAAUAUUAAUAAUAGUUGAUUAGUAUUGUGAAAGAUAGUUGAAAUAUUUUGAAAAAUUUUUGUAUAAAAAGAAAUUUUAAUUUAUUGUACCUUGUGUAUCAGGGUCUAUUAAAUAAUUAAUAUAUAUAUAUAUUAAUCUCGAUUUUAUAAGAGUUAAUAGUUUAUUAAAGUUAAUGUAUCAAAAUUAUUUUAAAUAAAUUGUUAGAAAUGAAAUGUUAUUCGUUUAUAAAGGUAUCUAGUUUUUUUAGAAAUAAAUUUAAUUUACAAAUUUUUAAUUUUUUAGUUAUUUAUUUAAUUGAAAAAUUUAUUUAUUUGAAUAUUUUAAGGGAUAAGCUUUAAAAUAAAUUAUUAAAAAUUAAUAGUGAAAGUGGUAUAAAAUGUAUGCUUAGAAUUAGCAAUCAUUGUAAAGUUUGUUAUAAAUUAUUUUAUAAAUUAGUAUUAUUUAUUAUAUUUUAAUUUAUUUAUAAAAAUUUUUUUAUUAAUUAGGGAUAAAAAGAAAUAAUGAUAGAAUUAGUAUAUUUUUUUGUUUAUGUAAUUUUAUAUGAUAAGUUUAUAUAAAGAACUCGGCAAAAUUUUUACUCGCCUGUUUAACAAAAACAUGUCUUUUUGAGUUAUAUUUAAAGUCUGACCUGCCCACUGAAAUUGUUUAAAUGGCCGCAGUAUUUUAACUGUGCAAAGGUAGCAUAAUCAUUAGUCUUUUAAUUGAAGGCUGGUAUGAAUGGUUGGACGAAGUAUAAGCUGUUUCAUAUAAAUUUAUAGUAGAAUUUUAUAUUUUAGUUAAAAAGCUAAAAUUUAGUUAAAAGACGAGAAGACCCUAUAAAUCUUUAUAUUUUAUGUUGUUUUAAUUUUUUAGAUUUAUUUUAUUUUUAUAGUUUAGAAUAUUUUGUUGGGGUGAUAUUAAAAUUUAAUGAACUUUUAAUUAUUUAGAAUCAUUAAUUUAUGUUUUAUUGAUCCGUUAAUAGUGAUUAUAAGAUCAAGUUACUUUAGGGAUAACAGCGUAAUUUUUUUGGAGAGUUCAUAUCGAUAAAAAGGGUUGCGACCUCGAUGUUGGAUUAAGAAAUAUUUUUAGGUGUAGUUGCUUAAAUAUUAAGUCUGUUCGACUUUUAAAUUCUUACAUGAUCUGAGUUCAGACCGGCGUAAGCCAGGUUGGUUUCUAUCUUUAAUAUAUUAUAAUACUUUAGUACGAAAGGACCAAGUAUUGGAAUAAUAAUAUUUUAAAUUAGAGAAUUUAAUUAAUAUUUU
RNAcentral lists this ribosomal RNA (1334 nucleotides) under Bactrocera moluccensis. RNAcentral describes it as "16S ribosomal RNA". Lineage: Eukaryota; Metazoa; Arthropoda; Insecta; Diptera; Tephritidae. The record is from RNAcentral.